AUAUGAAGUCGUACCUGCCCAGUGACACUUUAAACGGCCGCGGUACUCUGACCGUGCAAAGGUAGCAUAAUAAUUUGCCUUAUAAUUGAAGGCUAGAAUGAAUGGUUUGACAUGGAUAAAACUGUCUCUAUAUGAUUUUUUAGAAUCUUAUCUACAGGUGAAAAAGCCUGUAUUACAUUAAAAGACAAGAAGACCCUAUCGAGCUUUAAAAAAAUUAAUAAAAUAAUAAUCACCUUAGUGGAAAUUUAAUUAUUAAAGAUUUUAGUUGGGGCAACUUAGGAGUAAACAAAACCUCCUAUUAUUAUUAACACAAAUAAGUUAUGAUCCAAACAUUUUGAUUAAAAGAAAUAGUUACCGUAGGGAUAACAGCAUUAUUUUUUUUGAGAGCCCUAAUCGAAAAAAAAGUUUGUGACCUCGAUGUUGGACCAGAAUAUCCUAAAGAUGAAGAAGUCUUUGAGGGUUGGUCUGUUCGACCAUUAAAAUUCUA
Molecule: ribosomal RNA, 487 nt
Filed under: cf. Tritonoturris sp. NP-2008
Lineage: Eukaryota; Metazoa; Mollusca; Gastropoda; Neogastropoda; Conidae
Description: partial 16S ribosomal RNA
Rfam family: Bacterial large subunit ribosomal RNA
Source: RNAcentral